Molecule: long non-coding RNA, 1910 nt
Filed under: Triticum aestivum (bread wheat)
Lineage: Eukaryota; Viridiplantae; Streptophyta; Magnoliopsida; Poales; Poaceae
Description: long non-coding RNA (TAES_LNC003790)
Source: RNAcentral
UUUUUUAUGCAAGUUUUCUCGGAACAUUUGAAGGUAGCCUGCAUCUUUCUUACCUUUAUUUGGACUAUUAAUAUGUUCCUUGUCUGAUCCCACCAAAAGAUAUCUCACGCAGCUCUUUAUAAUUUAAUUUAAAGCAGGAUGACUUUCAGCAGUUCCUUUUCAAUCUUCAUGCAUUUAUCAAGAAAGCUAUACUUUGUUAUUUGCAAUGAUAAAAUAGCUACAGCAAAGAUAUACUGAUUUUGUGUUUGAAUCAAUGUGUUCUGUUAUGAUGAAUGCCUCUUUUAUCUGCAAAACUGAUGUGCUCCUUCAGUGGCGGAGCUAAGACCAAAAAACUGGGCGGGCCUACCCAAAUGAGAGUACAAAAAUCAUGUGUAGAUGACAUAUUACAAGCAUAUAAAUAUACGUCUAUAAUACUAACAUGCAUUUUUAACACGCACCUGGCAUCAUCUAAUCUGAGUGUUGUUUACGUGUGCUUCAUGCUCAGAAUACAUCCAUCAGCUAGCUUAAGCUUGCCAGGCUUGCUACCUACGUGUGUUGGCCACAACGGUGGGCGGGCCACGGCAUGCCUUUGCCCCAACGAAGCUCCGCCACUGCGCUCCUUUAUAGGUCUCUUGUUGCAAAACCUGUGGACGGCAUAUUCAUUUCAAGGUAUAACUAUACUCUAUAUCUUCUAGCACACAACCAUUAUGAUUGUUUCUAUGAACGUUAGGACUUGGCAGAUUUAGAUUCGAUUCUUUUGAGGGAACUCCCUUCUAUACAAGGUGCUCAAGCAGUCUGUUCCAUACAUCUCCUUGUCCCCUCAUGUGACAAGCAUUUGCGUAUUAUAUUAUAUUCCUUUAUGAAAGAUUGUCUUCUACAAUUUGUAUUUCUGUGCAGAGACUUGCACUCAAAAGAGAUUAGUUGACAUCAAGUGAUACAAACAAGUGAUUCCCUAGAGAUUCUUGUGUAUAAGCAAUCAGCUAAAUGAGAUUAUUUGACAUCUUGGUUGGUUCCUGAGGUGUACUAUAGUGGUGACCUAUAUCAAUGCUUUGAUCACAUUAAAUUGCAUACAGUAUUUCUCUUCUGCUCGAAAUAGAUGAUGUGGCAAAAGUAAGUUUGUGCUCCCCUAAAAAAACUUUAUAUCUGAAUUAGUCUACUUAUGAAACAUAUCUACUCAUCAGAAAUAUUAAGCAAUACAAAAUUAAGUAGUUAGCUUAAAAAAGAAUUAAGUAUUCUGAUAUUCAUUUAGAUGUUCAUGGAUCUGAUGAUCGAAUACUAAUGAAUAUGAGCAGGGGUUAUGGACCUGGAACAUUCCAAAGCCUAAAGAAUUCCUUUGAGCUUAAGGGUUGCAUAAGCAAACGAGCGAGAAGUAAGGUGGAGAGUAAAGCUAUAGAAAGUAGGGCGGACAACAAGACUAGACUCACCAUCGUCUGAUUUAGGCGCUGCAGACACAGGUAAUGAAGGGUGACACAGGGAGGGGCAGAGAGGCACUUGCGAUGGAGGUACGUGUCCAGAUUCUCCCUCGUCUCCAUAGACAUGGAAGAGAUUGCUGAGGUGUGCUCUUGCGGGGCCAUGCUAUCAUGGGGUUUGCGCUUGGACAUGCAAGAUGUGAUUUCUACUGUUAGAUAUAUAUGACCAUGGCUUGUGGUGUACUGUGUGAGGAGCCCAUGGAGUGACGUCGUUCAAGGAGUAACCAUGAUUACCAUUCCGUACCAAGAAUGUGGUAUAUUUAAAUUUGUAUGUCGCAAGUCACCGUAGCAAUGUGCAUACCAUAAUGAAAUGAAAUAAGUUUAUGGUUACUGUCAUUUUAGUUAACCAGGUCUUUGUUUUAGUUUCUUUUUCUCCGGUAUACAUGACAUUUAUUAUUCUUUAUGUUCCUUUGCAGUCCCAAAACUGUUACCUUCGCUGGAGCCAAAAAAACAUUGCACUAA